AUCUCGUUGUCCCAUAUAGUUAGACGUACCACUUUAGAUCUACAAAAAAUGAUUGUAUUAUAUAUUGCUUGGUGAACAACAAAUUUUAUUUAAUAAAAUUAGGUUGGGCCAGUAGUAUUUUGUUUGGGUCAUGAGUGUUUGGUAAAGCUGGGCUGUGAAGAUUAACUUAAUUAUUGGGCUGAAGCACGUGAUCUGCUGCUCGAUAAGAAAACACAUGAUCUGCUCUUCCCAAGUUAUUUCAUUAUUGGCCAAUCCGUGAUGACAUGUCAAUAUGAUUGGUCAGGAAUAUUUCGUCUAACGUGGCACUCUUUAAACACUCUAAAAAUAGCUCCUUUUAUAUAGUAGUGAUAGUAACAUGAACUUGAAAUCUUC
Molecule: long non-coding RNA, 372 nt
Filed under: Brassica napus (rape)
Lineage: Eukaryota; Viridiplantae; Streptophyta; Magnoliopsida; Brassicales; Brassicaceae
Description: long non-coding RNA (BNAP_LNC004675)
Source: RNAcentral